UGGGGAAUAUUGGACAAUGGGCGAAAGCCUGAUCCAGCCAUGCCGCGUGUGUGAAGAAGGUCUUCGGAUUGUAAAGCACUUUAAGUUGGGAGGAAGGGCAGUAAGCGAAUACCUUGCUGUUUUGACGUUACCGACAGAAUAAGCACCGGCUAACUCUGUGCCAGCAGCCGCGGUAAUACAGAGGGUGCAAGCGUUAAUCGGAAUUACUGGGCGUAAAGCGCGCGUAGGUGGUUCGUUAAGUUGAAUGUGAAAGCCCCGGGCUCAACCUGGGAACUGCAUCCAAAACAGGCGAGCUAGAGUAGGGCAGAGGGUGGUGGAAUUUCCUGUGUAGCGGUGAAAUGCGUAGAUAUAGGAAGGAAAACCAGUGGCGAAGGAGACCACCUGGGCUCAUACUGACACUGAGGUGCGAAAGCGUGGGGAGCAAACAGG
Molecule: ribosomal RNA, 429 nt
Filed under: Pseudomonadota bacterium
Lineage: Bacteria; Pseudomonadati; Pseudomonadota
Description: Proteobacteria bacterium partial 16S ribosomal RNA
Rfam family: Bacterial small subunit ribosomal RNA
Source: RNAcentral